RNAcentral lists this long non-coding RNA (1645 nucleotides) under Gossypium barbadense (sea-island cotton). Its description in RNAcentral is "long non-coding RNA (GBAR_LNC022414)". Lineage: Eukaryota; Viridiplantae; Streptophyta; Magnoliopsida; Malvales; Malvaceae. The record is from RNAcentral.
UCAGUAACCCAUUUCCCCCUUUUCCCAUUUACCCUUUUCGACAUUUCUCCCUAACCUAACCCUAAGCCUGUGCCCUCCUCCCAUUUUUCUCAAUUCGAGUUCACCUCCGGCAGCAAUCCACCUCUGAUCCUCCACCGAUCCACGACCAGACCUCCACGGCUCCACCCAUUUCCAGAAUCAGAGGUUAGAGCGAAGCUACAAACGUUGUUGCCUUAUAGUUCCUUUUUUGUUUGAUGUCUUUUGUUUAUAAUCUGUUUAUAAUCUUCUUUAUAAUCUGUUGAUGUUGCCUUACUGAUGUUGCCUUACAGUUCCCUUUGUUUAGCUGUUUAUAAUUUGUCGUUGUUGCCUACUAUUGUUGCCUUACAGUUCCAUUUGUUUCGUUGUUGCCUUACUGUUGUUGCAUUGCAUCUCAAUAUUUUUAUGGACAUUUAAUUUAUGCUUUACAAGAUUCAUUCACUGCGACAUUCUUAAACAUAUGAUUCCUUUUUUUUUAUCAAAUAUUUAACAUAUGAUUUUUGUCUCCAAAUCCAAAGUCAAAUAAUUAUAUAUAAAACUUUAUUUGCAAUAUGAUAUUGCUGUUUGACUCACUUCCAAGUGAACUUAUAUGGGCAUUUUAGCUCUUAAUUUGUGUUUUAAGCUAUUAUCCCAGGAGUUAACAUCAAAAACUUUGUAAUAAUAUUCAUGUAACUAAAUAAAUUGAUUGCGACAAGCUGACGUUAGUUGAAUUAAGGGUACCAAUCCUAAAUAAUUUUUAUUUUCUAUCACAAAUGGCAGACAAUUUGCUUCUUCCAUCCACUGACUGUUGUACCAAGUGCCUGUUUUAUAAUCUGUCUUCUGUUUUCUCUUAAUUUCUCUUACUUUCUCUUAUUUGAAAUUUUAUACUCUGGUUUAUAUUCUGGUUUAUAAUCUGGUUUAUACCUUGUUGCUUCUUUUUUAUAUCUGAAAUUUUAUAUUCUGGUUUAUAAUCUGGUUUAUACCUUGUUGCUUCUUUUUUUAUAUAUGAAAUUUUAUAUUCUGGUUUAUAAUCUGGUUUAUACCUUGUUGCUUCUUUUUUUAUAUAUGAAAUUUUAUAUUCUGGUUUAUAAUCUGGUUUAUACCUUGAUGCUUCUUUUUUAUAUUUGUGACAUUUUUUGACAGUUUUGGUAUUAUUUGACAGUUUUUUGCAGCUUAAAACUUAAAAGCAAUAGCAGUGCUUAUUGCCCAAUGAUAAUAUGCUGCUAGUCCUUAUUACUUGUAUAAUCAUUUUUAUUUUUAUUCUCUUUUUUUAAGAAUUGAUUGUUAGUUUGUUACCUAAAUGUCACAAAUGUGUUAUUAUAGACAAUUAAAUAACAUUUAAAUUCAAUUAGUUGUUAAUUUUUUAAACUUACAGUGUAUUAGUUUAGUGUAAUACUACAUCAAUUCUAACAUAAAGUUUAUAGAUAACAUGAUGAAAGCUAUUAUUUUAAAUUUUUUUCAUUAUAUACAAAAAAAAAUAUAAUUUGAUAUUUGAUAUAACUUUAAUAAAAAUUAGUUUUAACUUUUAAGUUAAAAAAAGGGCCGGACCGGGCCGGGCUUCAUAUUUUUUCCACGGGCUGGGCUUGGGUUACAUCUCAAGCUCAUAUUUCGGGCUGGGCCUGGCCUAGUAAGCGGGCCGAAUUUUUUUUCU